UGGAGGACUGAGAAGGUUGAGCAGCUUGUGCUGUUAUAACUGGUUAAAACCUCCAAGAGUAACACACAAACCACUCAAUUGAGCAUCUUUGUCAUGAGCUCAUUUGUAGUGUGUUUGUGAACAAAAC
Molecule: small nucleolar RNA, 127 nt
Organism: Etheostoma cragini (Arkansas darter)
Lineage: Eukaryota; Metazoa; Chordata; Actinopteri; Perciformes; Percidae
Product: small nucleolar RNA SNORA47
Exons: 1
Source: RefSeq, a predicted model, not a curated record